Molecule: ribosomal RNA, 939 nt
Filed under: Agaricus sp.
Lineage: Eukaryota; Fungi; Basidiomycota; Agaricomycetes; Agaricales; Agaricaceae
Description: LSU rRNA
Rfam family: Eukaryotic large subunit ribosomal RNA
Source: RNAcentral
UAACAUAUCAAUAAGCGGAGGAAAAGAAACUAACAAGGAUUCCCCUAGUAACUGCGAGUGAAGCGGGAAAAGCUCAAAUUUAAAAUCUGGCAGUCUCUGGCUGUCCGAGUUGUAAUCUAGAGAAGUAAUGCCCGUGCUGGACCGUGUAUAAGUCUCCUGGGAUGGGGCGUCAUAGAGGGUGAGAAUCCCGUCUUUGACACGGACUACCAGUGCAUUGUGGUAUGCUCUCAAAGAGUCGAGUUGUUUGGGAAUGCAGCUCAAAAUGGGUGGUAAAUUCCAUCUAAAGCUAAAUAUUGGCGAGAGACCGAUAGCGAACAAGUACCGUGAGGGAAAGAUGAAAAGAACUUUGGAAAGAGAGUUAAACAGUACGUGAAAUUGCUGAAAGGGAAACGCUUGAAGUCAGUCGCGUUGGCCGGGAAUCAGCCUUGCUUUUGCAUGGUGUACUUUCUGGUUGACGGGUCAGCAUCAAUUUUGACCGCUGGAAAAAGGCCUGGGGAAUGUGGCAGCUUCGGCUGUGUUAUAGCCCCUAGUCACAUACAGUGGUUGGGAUUGAGGAACUCAGCACGCCGCAAGGCCGGGUUUCGACCACGUUCGUGCUUAGGAUGCUGGCAUAAUGGCUUUAAGCGACCCGUCUUGAAACACGGACCAAGGAGUCUAACAUGCCUGCGAGUAUUUGGGUGGAAAACCCAAGUGCGUAAUGAAAGUGAAAGUUGAGAUCCCUGUCGUGGGGAGCAUCGACGCCCGGACCAGAACUUUUGGGACGGAUCCGCGGUGGAGCAUGUAUGUUGGGACCCGAAAGAUGGUGAACUAUGCCUGAAUAGGGUGAAGCCAGAGGAAACUCUGGUGGAGGCUCGUAGCGAUUCUGACGUGCAAAUCGAUCGUCAAAUUUGGGUAUAGGGGCGAAAGACUAAUCGAACCAUCUAGUAGCUGGUUCCUGCC